AUGAACGCUGGCGGCGUGCUUAACACGUGCAAGUCGAACGAUGAAGCCCAGCUUGCUGGGUGGAUUAGUGGCGAACGGGUGAGUAACACGUGAGUAACCUGCCCUUAACUCUGGGAUAAGCCUGGGAAACUGGGUCUAAUACCGGAUAGGAGCGCCUACCGCAUGGUGGGUGUUGGAAAGAUUUAUCGGUUUUGGAUGGACUCGCGGCCUAUCAGCUUGUUGGUGAGGUAAUGGCUCACCAAGGCGACGACGGGUAGCCGGCCUGAGAGGGUGACCGGCCACACUGGGACUGAGACACGGCCCAGACUCCUACGGGAGGCAGCAGUGGGGAAUAUUGCACAAUGGGCGAAAGCCUGAUGCAGCGACGCCGCGUGAGGGAUGACGGCCUUCGGGUUGUAAACCUCUUUCAGUAGGGAAGAAGCGAAAGUGACGGUACCUGCAGAAGAAGCACCGGCUAACUACGUG
This 465-nucleotide ribosomal RNA is filed under the name uncultured bacterium. Its description in RNAcentral is "partial 16S ribosomal RNA". It matches the Rfam family "Bacterial small subunit ribosomal RNA", at positions 29 to 507 of the family's 1533-position model. The record is from RNAcentral.